Molecule: ribosomal RNA, 459 nt
Filed under: uncultured bacterium
Lineage: Bacteria
Description: partial 16S ribosomal RNA
Rfam family: Bacterial small subunit ribosomal RNA
Source: RNAcentral
CCUACGGGAGGCAGCAGUGAGGAAUAUUGGUCAAUGGGCGCGAGCCUGAACCAGCCAAGUCGCGUGAGGGAAGACGGUCCUAUGGAUUGUAAACCUCUUUUGCCGGGGAGCAAAAGACGCCACGCGUGGCGUUCCGAGAGUACCCGAAGAAAAAGCAUCGGCUAACUCCGUGCCAGCAGCCGCGGUAAUACGGAGGAUGCGAGCGUUAUCCGGAUUUAUUGGGUUUAAAGGGUGCGCAGGCGGAAGAUCAAGUCAGCGGUAAAAUUGAGAGGCUCAACCUCUUCGAGCCGUUGAAACUGGUGUUCUUGAGUGAGCGAGAAGUAUGCGGAAUGCGUGGUGUAGCGGUGAAAUGCAUAGAUAUCACGCAGAACUCCGAUUGUGAAGGCAGCAUACCGGCGCUCAACUGACGCUCAUGCACGAAAGUGUGGGUAUCGAACAGGAUUAGAUACCCCUGUAGUC